CUGAUUAAGGCUGCUAUCAAAAGAGAGGGGGAGAAGAAAGAAGACGUGAACGGCAUGAACGAGGGAAGGAGAGAGGGAGGGAUGGAAAGAGGGAUGGAGGGAGGGAAUUAAAAAAGCAGAACGUUUACUUAAACCCAAAUACGCUAAAGAACAGCUCGUGUCUUCUCUUAUCUCUCUCUGUUAUUACAGAGUUGCUGGGUUACAGGAACUACGUCUGCCAUUUCUCAAUCCAUGACCCCACAGAGCUGUGUAUGUGUGUGUGUGUGUGUGUGUGUGUGUGUGUGUGUGUGUGUGUGUGUCCACAAGGAAACGAAUAACUGUUUUAACCUUGUUGGGACAUCUGGCUGAUCCUCAUGAGGAAAAGAGUUCUUUUUUUUAAAUAAAAAAUAAUAAUAAAUAAACGAGCCACAAGGUUUCCUUCAAUAAUAAUGAAUAAUGAAUAAGUGUGUGUGUGUGUGUGUGUGUGUGUGCGUGUUUGUGUGUGUGUGUGUUGCAAGUUGUGUAGAGCUGCCUGCUUAUUUGAUAAGAACUCGUCCGUCCUGAAGAAAAAUAAACAGGCCGGCGUGCAUCAAGAGCUGCUGCUACUGGAGCACAACACAAUAUUUACACGACAAUACACACUCUUCUCACUGCCACUUACUCACACACACACACACACACACACACACUUCAGUUGAGACACUUUGUCAGGUGUAUGAAGUUUUGCAGUGUGGAAAUAAUCACGAGUGCAUUUGUGACUGUUUUACUGCCACAAGCAGCAUCAUUUCAAGCAACAUCACUUAAAAACAACAACAAAAAACAUUUCCAUAUUUUUUUUUCUCCCAACAUGAGUUUAUUGAAUAAUUACAUAAUAAUCAUUUAAAAAAUACCGGACAGAAUUAAACCAAUGAACUGCUUUUCAAAUGUAACUUUUGAAAUGAAUCUUAUUUGUGCUGUUAAAAUGCUGCCAUAUUAAACAUCAUCGAGUAAAUAUGGUGUCAUUUUUGUAAAAAAUACAAAAAUGUCCCGGUGUUCCAGUCAUUAUCUGAUUUCAUUCAUCUUCCAAUAGUAAAAUAAACAGCCAAUCAUGAUCAUCUUAGCUAUCGAGAUAUUUAAAAAAAAAAAAAAAAAAAAAAAACUAACCAAAAAAGCCUGAUAGAUGCCUGGAUUUUACUCGGAUUAAUUGCUCUUAAUGCAAUCUGAUAUCUUUUAAUUUUUCCACAUUUAGGAAACCGGACAUUUUGAUCGGGAUUACUGAAGUGCAUGUCAUAAAACCCAGAUUAUUUUACGUGUGUAAAAAUGGCCACUUGAGCAAGGCUUUUAAUAUACAUUUGCUCAAGAUCAAAUCUACACUUUGGAUUGGAUUCUGCUUCACUUUACAACAUGUGUUUCUGUAGAUAUGAGAGAGAGAGAGAGAGAGAGAGAGAGAGAGAGAGAGAGAGAGAGAGAGAGAGAGAGAGAGAGAGGAAGAAAGGGUAACAGUGUGGCUUGUGUUUGUUUAUUUGUGAUAAUGUGCUUGUGUCGGUCCAUCUGGAACCCUGCCUUUGACUCUGAGUGACAGAUAGAGAUCAGAGACACUCUUAUCAGGUCAGCAGCUCGGGGAUCGGCCUGGCUUUUCCAUUCUGGGAAAGUUGUGACCAGAUGCCAUUAAGAUGGCAUGUUACAGUGGGCAUACCAAGUCUUUACCAGCAUACAGCAUAGAUAUACGUCCUACUUGCAGAUCUUGACCUAUGAUACUUUGCUAUUCUAUGAACUGCGCUUUAGUGCUGAAAAGUUUAUUUUGCUGUUACACACUACUGAAAAGUUUAUUUUGCUGUUACACACUACUGAAAAGUUUAUUUUGCUGUUACACACUACUGAAAAGUUUGUUUUGCUGUUACACACUACUGAAAAGUUUUUUGUUUUGUUACACACUACUGAAAAGUUUGUUUUGCUGUUACACACUACUGAAAAGUUUGUUUUCCUGAUGUACAGAAGUGUGGC
Molecule: long non-coding RNA, 1962 nt
Organism: Ictalurus punctatus (channel catfish)
Lineage: Eukaryota; Metazoa; Chordata; Actinopteri; Siluriformes; Ictaluridae
Source: Ensembl